Molecule: ribosomal RNA, 468 nt
Filed under: uncultured bacterium
Lineage: Bacteria
Description: partial 16S ribosomal RNA
Rfam family: Bacterial small subunit ribosomal RNA
Source: RNAcentral
GACGAACGCUGGCGGCGUGCUUAACACAUGCAAGUCGAACGGAAAGGCCCUGCGUUUGUGGUGUGCUCGAGUGGCGAACGGGUGAGGAACACGUGUGUAACCUGCCCUUGACUUUGGGAUAACUUCAGGAAACUGGGGCUAAUACCGGAUAGGAGCCGCUGCUCCAGUGUGGGGGUUGGAAAUUUUCGGCUGUUGGGGCUGGAUUCGCGGCUUAUCAGCUUGUUAGUUGGGUAGGCGUUGACCAAGUCAUUGACGGGUAGCCCGCAGGAGAGCGUGACCGGCCACCAUAGUACUGCGAUACGGAGCAGACUCGUACGUGAGGCAGCAGGCGGAAAUCUGACACAAUGGGACCACGCCUGUGACAGAAACGCUGCGUUCGUGAUGACGGUCUUCGGGUUAAAAACAGCUUUAGCCUGUGACGAAGCGUGAGUGACGGUAAUGGAUAAAGAAGCACCGGCUAACUACGUG